RNAcentral lists this ribosomal RNA (460 nucleotides) under uncultured bacterium. RNAcentral describes it as "partial 16S ribosomal RNA". It matches the Rfam family "Bacterial small subunit ribosomal RNA", at positions 338 to 795 of the family's 1533-position model. The record is from RNAcentral.
CCUACGGGGCGCAGCAGUGAGGAAUAUUGGUCAAUGGACGAGAGUCUGAACCAGCCAAGUAGCGUGAAGGAUGACUGCCCUAUGGGUUGUAAACUUCUUUUAUAUGGGAAUAAAAUGUUCCACGUGUGGGAUUUUGUAUGUACCAUAUGAAUAAGGAUCGGCUAACUCCGUGCCAGCAGCCGCGGUAAUACGGAGGAUCCGAGCGUUAUCCGGAUUUAUUGGGUUUAAAGGGAGCGUAGGUGGAUUGUUAAGUCAGUUGUGAAAGUUUGUGGCUCAACCGUAAAAUUGCAGUUGAAACUGGCAGUCUUGAGUACAGUAGAGGUGGGCGGAAUUCGUGGUGUAGCGGUGAAAUGCUUAGAUAUCACGAAGAACUCCGAUUGCGAAGGCAGUUCACUGGACUGCAACUGACACUGAGGCUCGAAAGUGUGGGUAUCAAACAGGAUUAGAUACCCGUGUAGUC